CCUACGGGAGGCAGUAGUAGGGAAUCUUUCACAAUGGGCGAAAGCCUGAUGGAGCAACGCCGCGUGCAGGAUGAAGGCCUUCUGGGUGUAAACUGCUUUUAUAAGCGAGAAAUAUGAUGGUAACUUAUGAAUAAGGAUCGGCUAACUACGUGCCAGCAGCCGCGGUCAUACGUAGGAUCCGAGCAUUAUACGGAGUGUCUGGGUGUAAAGAGUUGCGUAGGUGGCAUAAUAAGUAGCUAGUGAAAUCUGGUGGCUCAACCAUUCAGACUAUUAGCUAAACUGUUAAGCUCGAGACCGUUAGGGGUAACUGGAAUUUCUAGUGUAGGAGUGAAAUCCGUAGAUAUUAGACGGAACACCAAUAGCGUAGGCAGGUUGCUGGGACGGUUCUGACACUAAGGCACGAAAGCGUAGGGAGCAAACGGGAUUAGAUACCCUUGUAGUC
This 442-nucleotide ribosomal RNA is filed under the name uncultured bacterium. RNAcentral's name for it is "partial 16S ribosomal RNA". It matches the Rfam family "Bacterial small subunit ribosomal RNA", at positions 338 to 795 of the family's 1533-position model. The record is from RNAcentral.